Molecule: ribosomal RNA, 495 nt
Filed under: uncultured bacterium
Lineage: Bacteria
Description: partial 16S ribosomal RNA
Rfam family: Bacterial small subunit ribosomal RNA
Source: RNAcentral
GAUGAACGCUGGCGGCGUGCCUAAUACAUGCAAGUCGAGCGAACAGAUGAGGAGCUUGCUCCUCUGACGUUAUCGGCGGACGGGUGAGUAACACGUGGAUAACCUACCUAUAAGACUGGGAUAACUUCGGGAAACCGGAGCUAAUACCGGAUAAUAUAUUGAACCGCAUGGUUCAAUAGUUAAAGACGGUUUUGCUGUCACUUAUAGAUGGAUCCGCGCCGCAUUAGCUAGUUGGUAAGGUAACGGCUUACCAAGGCAACGAUUCGUAGCCGACCUGAGAGGGGGAUCAGCCACGCUGGAAGAGAAACACGGGCCAGACUCCUACGGGGGGAAGGAGUAGAGAAUCAUCCGAAGUGGGAGAGAGGAAGACGGAACAACGCCGCGAGGGUGGUGAAGGUAUUCGGAUGGUAAAACUGUGUUAUUAGGGAAGAAAAAGUGUGUAAGUAACUAAGCACGUCUAGACGGUACGUAAAAAAAAAGCCAGGGAUAACUACG